UCUGGGAGCUCUACCAAACAGGGCCUAAGGUUGAUUUGGUUCUCUAGGAAAAACUAGUGUGUAUAUUUAUAAUUACAGGUAGGGGUUGGCCCUCUUCUACUAAUGGCUACAAAGUCAAUACGAGGAAUUAAUGUUGGAUGCAAAGUGGUGUCUAGGUCUUUGAAAUGUUUCAACUAUAUUUUGUUAAUUACAUGAGACAAAUAUAGUUGAGUGGUUGUCAACGAAUGCAAUAGAACCUUGUGUGGGUAUUUAUGGUAGUGGAAAAGUUAGUUGGGUUUAAUUUUAUUGAAGUUCAAUGACAAUCAGUGCUAGUGGGCCUGUUUCUAUGAACUAUUUUUAACAAUCUUUAAUAUAAUGUAGCAUCUUUUUUUGGGAAAACUAUUAAAUCUUGUGCAACUAAUAAUUCUAGCUAAGAAAAAUAUAUUUUAGUAUGGAUCAUACAAGUCCCUAAAAUAUGAUGUCAAUAGUUCUCACAUAGAUAUGAUAUGGUUGGAUUUGGAUCUAUCGCUAAGACUAGUAUGUGUGUAUUUGUGAACAUCAGCGUAGAUGCAUUUUGUUUAAUACUAGAAAUGACUUUCAAAGUGUCAAGGGAAUUUGUGACUACCACUAUAGUUUACUAGAUUUUUGAAAUCCCUCGGAAUUUAUAAAAUCACUAAUCACAGCAUAUAGAUACAAUUGAGUGUUGUUGAUUGAAUUUUUAAGAACAUGAGUAAUUAUGUAAUAGAAAAUAUUUAGAUUACAUAGUAAUCUGAUAAAACUAACGUAAGACUUUC
RNAcentral lists this long non-coding RNA (773 nucleotides) under Setaria viridis. RNAcentral describes it as "long non-coding RNA (SVIR_LNC003508)". The record is from RNAcentral. Lineage: Eukaryota; Viridiplantae; Streptophyta; Magnoliopsida; Poales; Poaceae.